This 529-nucleotide long non-coding RNA is filed under the name Homo sapiens (human). Its description in RNAcentral is "HSALNT0399751". Lineage: Eukaryota; Metazoa; Chordata; Mammalia; Primates; Hominidae. The record is from RNAcentral.
AGCUGCUAGGUUGGUGAACACAUGGAGGUGCGGGGAGGGUGGCGAGCCCAGCGAGGACGUGGAUUCCCCACGGCCCUUCCCACAUACCCCGUUCUUUCAUUUGGCUGUUUCUGAGUUGUGUGCUUUAUAAUCAACUGACAAUGUUCCAGCUCUUGAAGACGACAUAAUCCUUCAUGCCUUAGUCUUCACAUAUGUUGAACCCUCUGACCAGAUAUCUGUUCCUUAUUUCUCUGCCUGUUCAACAGUCGCAAUUCACCUCCAAUGAUUACUGUCUGAAGUCAUUCUUCAGAAUUCAACUCUUCUUUAUUGGUCUCUUACUGUGGCACGUGUUAGGAGAAAUACUAGAAAAUUCCCUUGAAGACUAGCUGGCAUGCCCCAACAGGAAACUUGACAAAGUUUCCUUAGUAAUGACUUCUGAAGGCCAUUUUGCUCUAAAUAUAUACUUUAAAUAAAUUAUCCCUUUGUCUUGUCAGAAUCAUUUGUAUGGUCAGAAUCAUUUGAAUAUUUAGAUAUAAUGAAUUUAAUGAUC